RNAcentral lists this ribosomal RNA (232 nucleotides) under uncultured bacterium. RNAcentral describes it as "partial 16S ribosomal RNA". It matches the Rfam family "Bacterial small subunit ribosomal RNA", at positions 99 to 334 of the family's 1533-position model. The record is from RNAcentral.
CGGACGGGUGAGUAAUGUCUGGGAAACUGCCCGAUGGAGGGGGGUAGCUACUGGAAACGGUAGCUAAUACCGCAUAAUGUCUGCGGACCAAAGCGGGGGACCUCCGGGCCUCGCGCCAUCAGAUGAACCCAUAUGGGAUUAGCUAGUAGGUAAGGUAACGGCUUACCUAGGCGACGAUCCCUAGCUGGUCUGAGAGGAUGACCAGCCACACUGGAACUGAGACACGGUCCAG